Long non-coding RNA from Trifolium pratense (red clover), 2103 nucleotides. RefSeq lists it as uncharacterized. The transcript has 6 exons. The record is from RefSeq and is a predicted model, not a curated record. NCBI's taxonomy places the organism in Eukaryota, Viridiplantae, Streptophyta, Magnoliopsida, Fabales, Fabaceae.
UGUAAUUAUGGCGAAAACACAGUACACCAAAUAAGUGACUAACUGAGAAAACACAGUGCACCAGUCUCGCGAACUUCAAGCGCUCGAGAACAAAAAGGAAGGGCACGCGAUUUUAGCAAAACCUCAAGAACAACAAACCCUCAAUCCCUCUCUCGAUUCGAAACUCUCUCAAUCAGGACAAUCCCUCACUCUCACUCGUCCUCUCUCACUCGUUCUGUCAAUUUCGUCAUCUCUCUCGGUGGUUCUCGAACCCUAGGUCCCAAAUCGAAGUUCAGUGAAACAAAUUGAAGCUUCUCUCAGAUCGUUCCUCUCACUACAACUAAAAACACAAACAGGCUGCUGCUACAAGAUCUUUAGCAAGGGGUACCAAUUUUGAUUCAGUUAUUUCUAUGUUGAAGGAGGAUAUUUUGUGUAGUUAAAACUAUUAUUCUAGGAGGAGUUCAAAAACCUUAUUGCUUUGUGAAACGUAUCUUCCCUCGGAUUCAUGAUUCAUGGACUGGUUAUCAUUCUCAAUGAUAUAUUUGGCAGGUUAUUCCACAAUUGUCUACCCCGAUUAAGGUGGAGCCUAAUGAAGGUUCAGCUUCAAUUGCCACGUCCAGCGAAUCCGUGGUUGAUGCUCUCAAAGUUAAGGAAUGGGAAGUAGGAAUGUUUCAUAAUGAGGUUGCUGCUACGCAAGGUAUAAGAAUAAGGAGAAGACCACCAACUGGACCACCUAUUCAUUACGUAGGACCUUUUGAAUUCCGGUUGGAGAAUGAAGGCAAUACGCCUCGUAAUAUCUUGGAAGAGAUUAUAUGGAACAAGGACAUAGAAGUCAGACAUGUAUUAUACUUGUAAAAUUUGUAAAAUUCAAACAACCCAAUUCAUUGUGCCAUACAAUCUCCUUGCCCCUGCCAGUUACUAUACAAAAGAUAAAUAAAAUCUUCUCUUUUUUCCCAAAUCAAAACAGGCAUAACUUCCUCCAAAUUUCAACCGGUUAGUAAGCAGCGGUGAAAAAUAAGCAUGCGGGUACUAGAAUAUCCGGAUUUCGCCAAAAAAAACUCCACGGUUCUCUCUUGAUUUGCUUUUAUCUUCUCUCUUUCUUUUUUUUUUUUUUUUUGUAAUGUUUUCCUCUCAAUUUCAUUAUUUCCUGUAUUGAUGGCAUUUUAUUCAUUUAAUUUUUAGUGUGUUUUCAAUGGCAGGGUAAAAAAAUUUAAUGAGAUCACAUGGAUCCCGAGAAAAAAUUGGGUCUUUGUGAGGUAAUUUUUGUGCUUUUUAUUUGCAAUGCCAAUACAUUAUCAUUGCAUUAACUUCCUUUGCAAUUUUCAUGUGGAAGUUUCUCCAAUACAAAUGAAAAGAGAUGUGAAGAUUCUAUAUAAAGAUUAUCCGGUUUGCAAAGGUUUUCAGCAAGCCAAAGACAUAUCUCAUUACUUCAUAAGCUGCUUUUCCUUUGUAUUGGAGAAACUUCCACAUUUGAAUUACCAAGUUUAUGGCUAUUCAAAAAUUGACAAUCCAUUUUUUUUUUCAACUUUAAUUUCAGAUUUUACCUUCUUGAUUUUAGAGUAAUGCUUAAUCCAUAGUUUUUUAUUUUAAAAAACUUGAAUUAAAGUAAUUCUUAUAUGUUCUCAAUUCUCACACGCUUUGCUUCUAACUUCUUCUAUUUGACAUGUUUUAUGUUUUGUUUAGAUGCAAUGCAGGGACUAUAAUAAAAUUAAGAAAGAAGGCCAGUGUUUAUAUAGCCUUGAUAGAGAGAUUGGAAAUUUACUGAAUAUAUGGUUUAUUUAUGUCAAACUUGAUGUAAAAAUGACCGGAAAUAAAAUCCAUUGUGGCUGCAUCUUUCUUUCGGUGUUCGAUGAUCCCACGUCAUUAACCGAGGAGGAGAUGUAUGAAUUGCGAAACAACUGGGCUACUUAUUUUCUUGACCUGUACAAUCCCGAGGUAGAUUAUGUUGUUUCCGAUGAUGAGGUUUAGGAGCUAGCUAGUUACAAUGGAUUCACAUUAACUAGGAUGUUUUGAAUUGUAAUGACUUGUAUUUUGCUUGAAUGUUAUAACAUUUUGGAUUGUUUUGGUAUUUUGCUUGACUUGUAAGACUUGGUAUUUUAUUUGAAUUGUAAUGACUUUGGUUGA